GUGGGGAAUCUUGCGCAAUGGGCGAAAGCCUGACGCAGCCAUGCCGCGUGAAUGAUGAAGGUCUUAGGAUUGUAAAAUUCUUUCACCGGGGACGAUAAUGACGGUACCCGGAGAAGAAGCUCCGGCUAACUUCGUGCCAGCAGCCGCGGUAAUACGAAGGGGGCUAGCGUUGCUCGGAAUUACUGGGCGUAAAGGGCGCGUAGGCGGACAGCUUAGUCAGAGGUGAAAGCCCAGGGCUCAACCUUGGAAUUGCCUUUGAUACUGGCUGUCUUGAGUUUGGGAGAGGUAAGUGGAACGCCGAGUGUAGAGGUGAAAUUCGUAGAUAUUCGGAAGAACACCAGUGGCGAAGGCGACUCACUGGCCCAAUACUGACGCUGAGGCGCGAAAGCGUGGGGAGCAAACAGGAUUAGAAACCCCGGUAGUCC
RNAcentral lists this ribosomal RNA (425 nucleotides) under uncultured bacterium. RNAcentral describes it as "partial 16S ribosomal RNA". It matches the Rfam family "Bacterial small subunit ribosomal RNA", at positions 354 to 796 of the family's 1533-position model. The record is from RNAcentral.